RNAcentral lists this long non-coding RNA (286 nucleotides) under Homo sapiens (human). RNAcentral's name for it is "HSALNT0389771". Lineage: Eukaryota; Metazoa; Chordata; Mammalia; Primates; Hominidae. The record is from RNAcentral.
GUUGAGGGUCUCCAGGCCUGGAGUUGGCUGGCAGGAGUUGAGCAGGAAGCAGGUGGGCACGCAGGGCUGAGGAAUGUGGCAGGGUGGGGGACAGUUGUCACAGCAGGAGUUGAGCAGGAAGCAGGUGGGCACGCAGGGCUGAGGAAUGUGGCAGGGUGGGGGACAGUUGUCACAGCAGAUGGGCUCCAGUAACCAAACUGUGUGUGGGCAGGUGCUGGGUAGGCAGACUCCACAGCGGCAGCUUUUAUCAAAUGAGCAGAAGGUGGUGGCAGGGCCGGUGGGGACG